CGAGUCCGAGUCUCCACGGAGACGAAGUGGCGGUCAUCCAGCUUCCUAGAAGAGCUCUAACCACGUUAAUCUUUAGUUGCCUGUACCCGAAACCGACACAGGUAGGGGGGUAGAGAAUACCAAGGGGCGCGAGAUAACUCUCUCUAAGGAACUCGGCAAAAUGACCCCGUAACUUCGGGAGAAGGGGUACCACUGAGAAGUGGUCGCAGUGAAGAGGCCCAGGCGACUGUUUACCAAAAACACAGGUCUCCGCCAAGUCGCAAGACGAAGUAUGGGGGCUGACGCCUGCCCAGUGCCGGAAGGUUAAGGAAGUGGGUUAGGGAUUCGUCCCGAAGCUGACGACUGAAGCCCCGGUGAACGGCGGCCGUAACUAUAACGGUCCUAAGGUAGCGAAAUUCCUUGUCGGGUAAGUUCCGACCCGCACGAAAGGCGUAACGAUCUGGGCGCUGUCUCGGAGAGAGGCUCGGCGAAAUAGGAUUGUCAGUGAAGAUACGGACUACCUGCACCUGGACAGAAAGACCCUAUGAAGCUUUACUGUAGCUUGGAAUUGGGUUCGGGCUUGGUUUGCGCAGGAUAGGUGGGAGGCGAAGAAGAUUUGCUUGUGGGUGAAUCUGAGCCAACGGUGAGAUACCACUCUAACCAGGCUAGAAUUCUAACUUCAACCCGUCAACCGGGGGAAGGACAGUUUCAGGUGGGCAGUUUGACUGGGGCGGUCGCCUCCUAAAAGAUAACGGAGGCGCACAAAGGUUCCCUCAGGCUGGUUGGAAAUCAGCCAACGAGUGCAAAGGCAGAAGGGAGCUUGACUGCGAGACCUACAAGUCAAGCAGGGUGGAAACACGGUCUUAGUGAUCCGACGGCACCGAGUGGAAGGGCCGUCGCUCAACGGAUAAAAGUUACUCUAGGAUAACAGGCUGAUCUCCCCCAAGAGUUCACAUCGACGGGGAGGUUUGGCACCUCGAUGUCGGCUCAUCGCAACCUGGGGCGGAAGUACGUCCCAAGGGUUGGGCUGUUCGCCCAUUAAAGCGGUACGUGAGCUGGGUUCAGAACGUCGUGAGACAGUUCGGUCCAUAUCCGGUGUAGGCGCAAGAACAUUGAGAGGAGUCUUCCUUAGUACGAGAGGACCGGGAAGAACGCACCGCUGGUGUACCUGUUAUCGUGCCAACGGUAAACGCAGGGUAGCCAAGUGCGGAGUGGAUAACCGCUGAAAGCAUCUAAGUGGGAAGCCCACCUCAAGAUGAGUGUUCUCAUGGAGUAAUCCAGUAAGGUCACGGGAAGACGACCCGUUGAUAGGCGGUAGGUGGAAGUUCAGCAAUGGAUGAAGCCGAGCCGUACUAACAGACCGAGGGCUUGAU
Molecule: ribosomal RNA, 1352 nt
Filed under: metagenome
Description: bacterial LSU rRNA
Rfam family: Bacterial large subunit ribosomal RNA
Source: RNAcentral